UGUAGUUCAAUAUCAUCAUCCUCAAAGAGCUUAAACACCGAGUUGAUUUUCUCAUCAUCCACCUCAUCUAAUGUCG
RNAcentral lists this small RNA (76 nucleotides) under Arabidopsis thaliana (thale cress). RNAcentral's name for it is "ATSL004080". The record is from RNAcentral. Lineage: Eukaryota; Viridiplantae; Streptophyta; Magnoliopsida; Brassicales; Brassicaceae.